This 197-nucleotide ribosomal RNA is filed under the name uncultured bacterium. RNAcentral describes it as "partial 16S ribosomal RNA". It matches the Rfam family "Bacterial small subunit ribosomal RNA", at positions 328 to 539 of the family's 1533-position model. The record is from RNAcentral.
ACGCUCGACACCUACGGAGGCAGCAGUGGGGAAUAUUGCACAAUGGGGGAAACCCUGAUGCAGCGAUGCCGCGUGAAGGAAGAAGUAUCUCGGUAUGUAAACUUCUAUCAGCAGGGAAGAAAAUGACGGUACCUGACUAAGAAGCCCCGGCUAACUACGUGUCAGCAGCCGCGGUAAUCUGAGCGGGCUGGCAAGGC